Molecule: RNA transcript, 1001 nt
Organism: Orcinus orca (killer whale)
Lineage: Eukaryota; Metazoa; Chordata; Mammalia; Artiodactyla; Delphinidae
Gene name: nucleophosmin-like
Exons: 1
Source: RefSeq, a predicted model, not a curated record
UGUGAUUCUGUCCUGCGCAACUGUUCCCUGGAACAGUAGUCUUUUAUCUCCGUCCACCUUCUCUCCCACCUAAGUGCAUGCCACCAACCCAUGGAAGAUUCGAUGGACAUGGACAUGAGCCCUCUGAGGCCCCAGAACUAUCUUUUUCGUUGUGAACUAAAGGCCAACAAAGAUGAUCACUUUAAGGUGGAUAAUGAUGGAAAUGAGCACCAGUUAUCUUCAAGAACGGUCAGUUUAGGGGCUGGCACAAAGGAUGAAUUGCACAUCAUCAAAGCAGAGGUGAUGAAUUAUGAAGGCAGUCCAAUCAAAGCAACACUGGCAACUUUGAAAAUGUCUGUGCAGCCAACAGUUUCCCUUGGGGGCUUUGAAAUAACACCACCUGUGGUCUUACAGUUGAAGUGUGGCUCAGGGCCUGUGCAUAUUAGUGGACAGCACUUAGUAGCUGUGGAGGAAGAUGCAGAGUCAGAAGAUGAAGAGGAGGAGGACGUGGCACUCCUAAGUAAGUCUGGAAAGUGUCUGCCCCUGGAAGUGGUAGCAAGUUUCCACAGAAAAAAGUAAAACUUGUUGCUGAUGAAGAUGAAGAUGAUCAUGAAGAUGACGAUGAUGAUGAUGAAGAUGAUGAUGACUUUGAUGAUGAGGAAGCUGAAGAAAAAGCUCCAGUAAAGUAAUCUGUACAAGAUAUUCCAGCCAAAAAUGCACAAAAAUCAAACCAGAAUGGAAAAGACUCAAGACCAUCAACACCAAGAUCAAAAAGUCAAGAAUCCUUCAAAAAACAGGAAAAAACUUCUAAAACACCGAAAGGACCUAGCUCUGUAGAAAACAUUGAAGCAAAAAUGUAAGCAAGUAUAGAAAAAGAGCAUUGAACAAUCCUGGGCACUACUGGUAAAUUAAGCCCAAAGAUGGGGAGAGGGGAAAAGGAGAGACAAAUAUAGUCCAAACUGAGUAUCAUCAACAAUCCAGACUGAAGUCUUCUAUUUUCAUCUCAAUCCCCUUAUUGAUUU